ACAGUCAGUAUUCAGAACAAUGAUUGUUUGCAUAUGACCAAGUUCUCUACUUCACCAAGUGGACAUCUUAACUAUGAACCCAGAUAUGAUCUCUCACCAGGCUCCAGAUCUUCCAACAUUUGCCAUUUUCCAGUUUUGGUCAACUUGCCAUUGGAGUUCAUUGAUUUCGGGAAUGCCACAGUCAAAUGAAGAAAAUCACUUCAGUAGCUAGAUGAGAAAACUGAGACCCAGAGAGAUUGUUCAACAUCACACAGGUAGUACAAGGUCAAAAUCCAAUUUGAUUCUGGGUCUUCUGUCUCCAAAACCUUUGCUCAUGACUCCAUAAAACAUGUAAAUCUAAACAUAAUGAGCUGCAAUAUGUAACAGGCCUCAUCAUCUUCACAUAUUUCAACUAUCCCAUAUAAGUCAUACAAAAGAGAAUUAAU
This 425-nucleotide long non-coding RNA is filed under the name Monodelphis domestica (gray short-tailed opossum). RNAcentral's name for it is "lncRNA (ENSMODG00000031956.2)". Lineage: Eukaryota; Metazoa; Chordata; Mammalia; Didelphimorphia; Didelphidae. The record is from RNAcentral.